Molecule: long non-coding RNA, 942 nt
Filed under: Felis catus (domestic cat)
Lineage: Eukaryota; Metazoa; Chordata; Mammalia; Carnivora; Felidae
Description: lncRNA (ENSFCAG00000041707.2)
Source: RNAcentral
CAGGGUGGGGCCUGGGAACCUCGCCCGCAGGCUGACCCCACGACACCUUUCAGGUCUGCUGGCUCCGCCCUCGUCGGGCUGCCAUUUUGGUGGCGUUUGUCCUGAAAUGGCAUCCCCCCCCCCCUCCCCCGUCUGCGAUGUUCGCUCUAACUUCUAGGUUUAAUCCAUCCCUUGUGGCUACUUGUGCCGGUUCAGUUUCGAUGCAAGCCUUUCUGCGUUGACCUUGUACGGUUAUAAAUGUUUUAACAUCCAUAAAAAAAUAAAAACGUGCGCUCCCAUAAAGAGCAGCAAACACAAAACACAGUAAGGAGCGGGAAGAUUUGAGGCCGCGCAGCGCAGGCUCCAGAAGGCCGGCGUCACCGCCAGCUUGCACCGCAUCCCUGAAGUUUAAUGGCUGUGAACACGGUGAUCGCGGGCUUUUUAGAGGGCAUUAUAUUAGUGUGACCGCCGAUCAGGAAACCGAGGUUCAAGGCCACAUACCUAGGCCUACACUGGCUGCAUGGUCCACAAGUACGGUCUUAGGAGUUUGGCGCUUUGGAAUUUAGCCUGCAGCAGAGAUGAAGAGGAGCUCACCGUUUGACAUUGGCCCUCGUCCGCCUGUCUGUGGCUCUUUCCAGACCCUCUCCAUCCACCUGCUCACAUUCUCACUGCCUCUUGGCUUAUCUAAAUCCGUCCACAUUAAGACGCACCUCAAGUACCCGUCCCCUGCAGAACCACUCUUUGCCGGUAGUCUGAUCCCAUGGUUCCGCUUUAACAAUUUCUAUUGCAUUCAUUGCUGAUGUGUUUCCCAAAUUUCACCCAACUUUAUGUUACCACCUUUAUGAAUUUCGUUAUGAUCUGCCACCUUGUUUUAUGAUUUACAUGAAUGCUUAAAUAUGUUCUUUAAUUGGAUUCCCCUUUUGCUAAAAUAAAUGUAUUUGAAGUUAACUGGAUAUUGAUAUU